AUGAUCGCCGGGCGCACCCCUCUCGACGAGCCGUCGCGCUGGGAGCAUGAUGCCAUCUGCACUUCUAUGCCCGCCUGGCGCCGCGCGGUCUCGUCGCCCACCCCGGCGUCAUCUACCGCUCCGGUGGGGAUCCUCCGUGCCCCUUCUGCUCCAGGGGCUCCGGCACGGCAAGGCCCGCACAAAGCUGUGUGGUUCAACCUGCCUCCAUGGACGCCCGACAGCUCCGAGGAGGCCCACCUCCUCUCGCGCCGCCAAGAUGCUUCGUUUCCUCCACGCUUUUUAGCAUGCAUGGACCCGACCGCCGCUGCCUCGGAAGAUGGAUGGACUACAGCUAUGUCCCGCCGCACGCGACGUGAGGCCCAAAGGGUCGCUGCUCCACUCAGAGGGAGCCGCCGUCGUCUCUUCUCCUCUGCCCGAGGUGCCGGCCCUCCAUCUCCUUCGUCUACAAACGCUGGGGCUAAGGUUUGCUUCCAGUGGAGCUCUUCUAGCCACCUGGUUGCCUCUUGCUCCCGCCCACGAAGCCGUCGCUCCCAGCAGCACCCUCCUCCAGCUAGCAGGACGCGGCAGCCAUGCGCGUCCUCUCCACCUUCAGCGACCAUGUCCUUCCUCGGCCACCCUUCCACGCGCGAGGAGGAGGACACUUGCUACAUCGCAACUUCAUACGAUCUCGAUCGUGAGCGCCUGGACUGGGAGAGCACCGCCAUCGUGGCGUGGGUUAUCGCUGCACCGUCGUGGACGGACCACACCGAUGUCAACGACGUCUUCCGCCGCAAGUUCUGCCUAUGGGCGUCGGAGCUGAUGGUGAGCUCUCACUUCCCAGAGCAGUACCUCGUGAAGUUCUCCUCCGCCGAGCUACCCGAUGAGGUCAUGCGUACGGAGUGUUGCAACUUCAAGCUCGACGGCCUCGACAUCCACUUCCGGCCGUGGCGCGCCGUCUCUCACGCCUACAACGCCGACCUCCACUUCUGCAUCCAUGUGGUCGUUGACGGCCUCCCUCCUUUCUCUUGGAGGCCGGAAGUGGGUGCGGAUGGCCUCUCCUCCAAGGUCCGCAUCGAGGAGGAUCACCCUGAUCAAUGGAAGAGAGGCGUCUCGUUCCGCGUCCUACUCCAUGUCGACCGCGUGGAGGAUUUCACUGAAGCCCCGGUCUUGGACGGCGGUGAGCCGCUCAACAACUUGAGGCCCGUUUCGCACUCCCUGCCGCAAUGCAACCUGGGCACCAUUGAUGGCCGGCCCGUUGGAGUCCCUCUGCUGGAUGCGAUGAAGGCUUGCAUCGACAAGUUCAGCACCCCGCUUCCGGACAAGGCGAUUGAAGCUCUAGCCAAGCUCUUCAAGCUCAACAUCUGCAGCAUGACCGAAGCGGAUGAGUCCCUCAUUGACAUGGGAGGCUUUCCUCAAAGAUGGCGGGCCCUCCUGACGACUCUCUUCACCACGGCCUCCUCUAGGGUUUUCCUCAAUGGAAUCACUGGGAGGGACAUCAUGCAUGGACGGGGUUUUCGUCAGGGCGAUCCCCUCUCGCCCCACCUGUUCGACAUCGCCAUCGACCCACUUCAGAGACUUCUGGAAAAGGCUACGGAAUCCGGCUUGCUGUCUGCUAUGCCUGGAGGUAUUCAGGGCCCCAGGGUCUCCCUAUAUGCGGACGAUGCUGCCAUUUUUCUAUCCCCCAUGACACAUGAUGUGGAGGGCCUUGCUAGCAUUCUACAGAGUUUUGGGGUAGUCUCUGGCCUCGUGACAAAUGUUACCAAGAGCUCCAUCGCCCCCAUCCAAUGCGCCAACAUUAACUUGGAGGAGAUUCUGGCAAACUUCCCGGCGACUACGACCCCCUUCCCCAUUAAGUAUUUGGGGUUGCCCCUCUCCCUCGGAAGACUUAGGCGUGUGGACCUUCAAGCCUACAUCGACAAAGCGGUGGCUCAUCUUAGCCCGUGGAAAGGAAAGUUCCUGAACCGUGCCGGGUGCACUGCUCUGGUUAAGUCUGUGCUCUCCUCCAUGCCAAUCUUCUUGCUGACGGCUUUAAAGGCUGACAAAGGCAUCCUCAAGGCCUUUGCGAACCCCAAGGAGCUCGGUGGUUUGGGGGUUUUGGACCUGGAGAGGUUCUCCCGGGCCUUGAGGCUUCGCUGGUUAUGGUAUGAGUGGAAGGCUCCUGAGAAGCAAUGGGCCUCCUUCUGGUCGUCUUCAUGGCUCAAUGGUGCCCUGCCAAAAGACCUGGCUCCUCUAAUUUUCAAGGCUUCCAAGAGGAAGAAUCAGACGGUCCAGGAUGCUCUCGCUGAUAACAACUGGAUCUCGGACAUUGCGGUGGAUGCAUUCACUGCCGAUCACAUGGAACAAUACGUUCGCCUCUGGGAGCUCUUGUCGGAUAUCCAGCUUCAUCCUGACACUGAGGACUCCAUUACCUGGUCCUUGACCCCUAAUGGGUGCUACUCGGCCAGCUCCGCCUACAAGGUCCAGUUCCUUGCCUCUUUGCCCUGCCAGUUCGGGAACAUCGUGUGGAAGACCUGGGCCCCUCAAAAGUGCCGUUUCUUCGCCUGGCUCGCUGUCCAGAACCGCUUAUGGACCGCUGAUCGCUUGGCGAAACGCGGAUGGCCGCACCAACCUACUUGCCAGCUCUGCCGUACAUCCCCUGAGACGGCACGACACAUUCUUUUCGAGUGCCAUUUCUCCAGAUGUAUCUGGACGGUCGCGGCCUCUUGGCUGUCUUGUCCAGACCUCAUCAGCAGCAUCGGUGAGGGUAGGCCUAAAUUCGUGGAUUAUUGGCUGGCCGUUUCAAAGUCCACCACCUCCUCCCCAAUAGGCUUGCGCUCAGCUAUCACGUCAUCACUUGGGAGAUCUGGAAAGAGAGGAACGAAUGAGUUUUCAACAAUAAGUCCUCCCUGCUAUCGGUUGUCAUGCAUAAGAUUAGGGAAGAGGGGAAGGACUGGAUCCUCGUCGGUGCUAAAAAUCUGGCGGAACUUGUAG
Molecule: ribosomal RNA, 2949 nt
Filed under: Triticum aestivum (bread wheat)
Lineage: Eukaryota; Viridiplantae; Streptophyta; Magnoliopsida; Poales; Poaceae
Description: partial small subunit ribosomal RNA
Source: RNAcentral